Molecule: ribosomal RNA, 542 nt
Filed under: uncultured bacterium
Lineage: Bacteria
Description: bacterial SSU rRNA
Rfam family: Bacterial small subunit ribosomal RNA
Source: RNAcentral
GAGGCAGCAGUAGGGAAUCUUCCGCAAUGGACGCAAGUCUGACGGAGCAACGCCGCGUGAGUGAAGAAGGUCUUCGGAUCGUAAAGCUCUGUUGUUAGAGAAGAACAGCGCAUAGAGUAACUGUUAUGCGUGUGACGGUAUCUAACCAGAAAGCCACGGCUAACUACGUGCCAGCAGCCGCGGUAAUACGUAGGUGGCGAGCGUUGUCCGGAUUUAUUGGGCGUAAAGGGAGUGUAGGCGGUCUUUUAAGUCUGAUGUGAAAGCCCACGGCUCAACCGUGGAGGGUCAUUGGAAACUGGGAGACUUGAGUGCAGAAGAGGAGAGCGGAAUUCCAUGUGUAGCGGUGAAAUGCGUAGAUAUAUGGAGGAACACCAGUGGCGAAGGCGGCUCUCUGGUCUGUAACUGACGCUGAGGCUCGAAAGCGUGGGGAGCAAACAGGAUUAGAUACCCUGGUAGUCACGCCGUAAACGAUGAGUGCUAAGUGUUGGAGGGGUUCCACCCUUCAGUGCUGGAGUUAACGCAAUAAGCACUCCGCCUGGGGA